Molecule: non-coding RNA, 209 nt
Organism: Pelobates cultripes (western spadefoot toad)
Lineage: Eukaryota; Metazoa; Chordata; Amphibia; Anura; Pelobatidae
Source: the annotation of a GenBank genome assembly
AGCGUAUAUAAAAGACACAGAAUUAUCGAACUAAGUGUAGCAUCUUUUUGUAAGGUUUCUUAUAUAUUUAAAUAAUAAAAGUGCUCACCUUGUUUAGAGCCUUUUGAUAACUGGCUCUAAGUGUAUAAGCCCAGUGUCAAAUUGUGGGGUGACACUACCCCUUCCCUGGAAUCACUGGUGCUGGAUGCAGUGGAUUGUGUAAAAUAAGG